GACAGAGGUGGCAAGCGUUGUUCGGAAUUACUGGGCGUAAAGAGUCUGUAGGUGGUUUGUCAAGUCUUUGGUGAAAGGCCGUAGCUUAACUAUGGGAAUGCCAAAGAGGCUGGCAGGCUGGAGGCUGGGAGAGGGAAGCGGAAUUUCUGGUGUAGCGGUGAAAUGCGUAGAUAUCAGAAGGAAGGCCGGUGGCGAAGGCGGCUUCCUGGAACAGUCCUGACACUGAGAGACGAAAGCGUGGGGAGCAAACAGGAUUAGAUACCCUGGUAGUCCACGCCCUAAACGAUGGGUACUAAGUGUGGAGGGGUUAAACCCUCCGUGCCGCAGCAAACGCAGUAAGUACCCCCGCCUGGGGAGUACGGCCGCAAGGUUGAAACUCAA
Molecule: ribosomal RNA, 381 nt
Filed under: uncultured bacterium
Lineage: Bacteria
Description: bacterial SSU rRNA
Rfam family: Bacterial small subunit ribosomal RNA
Source: RNAcentral